RNAcentral lists this transfer RNA (57 nucleotides) under Ovis aries (sheep). It matches the Rfam family "tRNA", at positions 8 to 63 of the family's 71-position model. Rfam says of the family: Transfer RNA (tRNA) molecules are approximately 80 nucleotides in length. Their secondary structure includes four short double-helical elements and three loops (D, anti-codon, and T loops). Lineage: Eukaryota; Metazoa; Chordata; Mammalia; Artiodactyla; Bovidae. The record is from Rfam by way of RNAcentral.
UGGCUCAGAUGGUAAAGCGUCUGCCUACAAUGCGGAAGACCCGGGUUCAAUCCCUGG